Chenopodium quinoa (quinoa) is the source of this 908-nucleotide long non-coding RNA. RefSeq lists it as uncharacterized. The transcript has 3 exons. NCBI's taxonomy places the organism in Eukaryota, Viridiplantae, Streptophyta, Magnoliopsida, Caryophyllales, Amaranthaceae. The record is from RefSeq and is a predicted model, not a curated record.
CUCUUCCUUUCUUUGUUUUUCCUGAUUUUACUCUCAUCCUCUUAUUUUUUCGUUUGAGAACACUAGAAGCAUACUCUCAGUGAGCCUCCUCCAUGGAAUCGUACUUCUGAGUUCUCCAUUUUUGCGGCUUCUGGUAUGUCUAUCUAUUUUCCGUCGACACCGCUACUGAGGUUUUUUUCCCAUCAAUUUUUUUUCCAUCAAUCUGGCGCAAAUUAUCCUGCCAAUUUGGGAAGAACUUCGAACCAGAAGAACAAGAAAAAUCCCUCAUUUUUAGGGAGAGAAAGAGAGAUUUUAGUUUUGAGAUCGUUAUGAUCCAAUGGAAUUUCAUGAUAUCAGAGAAACCAUAUACGACUAUCCUUGAAGCAAUUGCAAAAGCCGCCGAAGAAAAAACGCCGGUAAUAGCGCUAUACAACUAUCCUUCAUUUUCCGGCGCAUAUUCAGCACUCUUCGCUCAUCCCUUCCACUUUCACCUUCGUCGUCUUUACCUGUUGCCUUAUUCUUCCGUUUUCCUCCGUCCUCCUUUCAGGUCAUUCUCUCACUGAGUUUUUGUUGCCAUUUUUCUGUUGAUUGUAACAAUUAUGUAAUUUCUUUGAUUAAAUUAUUAAUGUUAGCAUUGUGUAAUUAGCAAUUGUCGCUUUGCAUUUUUUUGUUGUUUUUUUUUUAUUUUGACAUAGAUUAAUUAGUACUGCAUUUGUUUGUUGUUAUGCUAGAAUGUUGUGUGUCACUGGAAAAAUUGUGUUGUGCUCCGUAUUUAUUUAUUUUUAGUUUAAGUUUAAUUAUGUGUUUAUCUUGUUUAGCUGUUGAGAAAAUCAGAAAUUAAUAUAUGAGAAAUGUAAUAUGAAUUUAAUUAUACAACUUUUGUUUAUAGGCCAUUUUUGUUCUGAUGAUUUAAAAAUAUGUUACUUGAA